UAUAUAUAUGCAUAUAUAUACUGUGUCUGCUUAUACAUAUCUAAAUAUAUGUAUCUCCACAUAUAUGUAUAUUUAGAUAUGUAUACUGAUCUAAAAAGAUGCUUCAGUACACCUUUUCGAGAGAGGACCGCAGAGGAGAGAAAGGCCCUGGACAGAGACUAAAGGAGAGAAGAGGAUGUUUUUGGGGCAGCCACAUGAACUGAUGAGGGGGGCAAAGACACUACCCUCCCCAAAAAAAAUCGACCCCAGCAAACUUCCCCCGUCCUCCUGGGCCACCCCUCCUCGAUGCUGUCCCUUCCCCCUCAGCUACGGUGCUGCUUUCUCAUAUAUGCAAAACAAAUAUCCUUUAUUUUCUUAACCGACAGGGAAGAGAGAAUCUGACAAACGUUCCGGUGGUGACGCUUAUUUCCCAUGGAUUACACGGAUCCUAGAUUUUUUCAAAGAAAAAAAAGUGAUAAAGGGAUGAGGGGCAACGUUUUAAGAAAAAAAAAGCGUCUUUAAAAAAAAAAAAGUUUUUCGACUGGUGUACAGCUUCCCUUCAAGCGAUAUUUUGACAACAAAAAGUCAGCUUUUCAUCCGAUUUUAUUGACAAUCAUGAAUCUGUCAGUUCUUUUGUUCUGAGAUUUUUUUCUUUGGAGGAGACACUGCAACAUAUAUAUUGGGAGCCACUUUUUCGUGGAGGCCUUCUCAUUUGAAACACACUGGUGUUGAUGAUGCUUCUGUGACAAGGAUAUGCACACCCAUACAAACACACACACCUGCACACACACACACACACACACACACACACACACACACACACACACACACAUAUACGUACUGACAAGGGUCAGUAUUGUUUUAGGGUGAAGACUUGAAAGUUCAGGGUAUGACAUCUUUUUUUGGCAGUCGCUUCUGAAAGACAUCCCGAGAAAAGAGAGUAAAAGUGUUGCCGUUUCCCUUGGAGUGUUUGUAUGUAUGUGUAUGUGUGUUUGUGUGUGUGCAUAAAUGUGUAUGAUUGUGUGUGUGUGUGUGUGUGUGUGUGUGUGUGUGUGUGUGUGUGUGUGUGUGUGUGUGUGUGUGUGUGUGUGUGUGUACAUGUGUGCAGAGACUGCUAUUCUGAUCAUUGUCUUGAUAAUCCCUUCCCCUUGCCUAUCCCUUGGCCUAGCCUAACCUAACCAUUUCUUUAAAUUUACUAUAGAGAAGGGGGUUCAGUAUAUUGUGCUAAAGUAUAUAUAGUGAUAGAGGGAGCACCAGACAUUAUUCUGUCGCUAUCAUGACAGUAUGGGGUGGAAAGGAUAGGUCCUAUUUGUCUUUGUUUUGCAUUGACUUAAAGAUUUGCAUUGGAAAUUGCAGGCAUUGCACUACUAUAAAAUUAAUUUUCCACUCUGCAGGCCUCAUGUUCGGCCCAAUCUUAUGAAAUGCUGCGAGUUAGAAUUAGCCGUUAGGAUUUUUAUUGUUGACUGUUUUUGUUCUUCUGGUAGCAGGGUACUUGAGUUGUGAGUGUUGGCUUUCUUGAGCUGUCAGUAGGAUCUAAAUAACCCAGGCCCUCUGUGUUCUUCAUCAUCAUACACUCACAUGUGAAAAGUGUUUCCAUGUGUGUGUGCACGGCGCAACCAGGGGGAAAUAAUGAAUUUAGGUUAAUUACAUCAUUUUUUAAAGUCUGUAUCUUCAUGUAUUGAAAUAACAAAAAUAGACAAUUUUUCAAGGGGGGGGUUGCGUCAUAAGGCCAAUGGCAUGCUUGUAUGUGUGUCACUGAUGGUAGUGAGUCGUCACAGGGUGUGUGUGUGUGUGUGUGUGUGUGUGUGUGUGUGUGUGUUUCAUGUGGAAACUGGAUGCCACUGGCACCACAAAGUCACGUGUAAGUGAAAGUGUGUCUAUUUGUGUGUGAGUGUGUGUGUGUGUGUGUGUGUGGUCAUCAUGGGGACAGCUGAUGCCACUGGCACCACAAAGUCACGUGUUGGUGAAGAUGUGUGUGUGUGUGUGUUUGUGCGUGGCUGGGGUUGUGACCUGCGGAAAUCCUCGUGGAGGACUGGUCUGGCUAGCAGUCGUAGAGCUUGUGCAUCCGUGCCCAGACUUCUCUCUCUAUAGCUGGUGCCUGGAUCCCUCUCCUGCGAUGCCAAGGAGCGAUCAGUGAACUCAGACGAGGUCACAGCAGAAUGGGCGGGAUUUGUACUGAUGUAAAAGAAAAGGAAAAAAACGAAUCCACAUCAGGGCUUCUAACUCCUCUACCAAACCCAAAUCUCAAAGCCAUGAAAAGUGCCUAAGACAUUGCAAGAGUUUGAAUUGUUUUUUUUCUUCUUCUUCUUUCAAAUGAAUUGUUUGGCUUGUUUAUUUGUUUGUUUGUUUUUCUUUGUGAGCGUAUGAGCCUGAACUAGCUCCAAGUUGGCCAUGCAAUGGUGGGAAGGAGAGUAGGCGAUUUUGGGAGGGAGGGAGAGGGAGAGAGAGAGAGAGAGAGAGUGAGAGAGAAAGAGAGAGAGAGAGAGCUCCCUCAGCUCCAUAGUCCCUCAAAUGCACCUUUCAUGCGUGUCCUUCUGAACUGAAGCCACCUUUUGCAGCUAAGUUUGAGAAAGAGAGAGAGAGAAAGAAAGAGAAAAAGAGAGAAGAAAAUAACCGCCCCAGCUAUCGGCAUAACCAACACAUAUCAAUGCUAUAUGCAGAGACUUACUGGUAACAGUACACAGCUAACAGAACAAUACAGAAUAAUACAGAUGAGGACUAAUGUCUGUACACACCGGUCACUUCUAAUUCUGACUUUUCAAUCCGGCUUAGCAGUAGCAAACUUCAAACCAGUUGAGUUGUGAUCUGAACCCAUAUUUGUGAAGAUAAUACACAAAAUGAAUUGUUUUUUUUAAGGGUGCUGAUGUGAAAAUUUUAUCCUGAUAUAUAUAAUAAUGCAUGGUGCUUUCAAAAGAAAAAAAAAUCAUGAGAACUUACGCUCUUAAGGCCACCGUAACGCGAACAUGGGUGCAUGGCAGAUGCUCUUAGUACCCCUCAGAAGCUGCCUGGCCCCAUUCUACAACCCUUCUACCCCCCCAGCCCCCUCCCUCCCCGACUACUGUCUUCCCCCAAUCCAUGGAACAGAAGGCCAGAGAUUCAUAUGGGUUAAAACAGUUUUACCACAUUUCUUAUGGUUUGUAUUCCCUCUCUCUCUUCUACUUUGCACGAAAUUUUAUAUAACACAUUAUGUGCCUUGCCUUUAGUUAAGAACAGUAAUACAUGAUUGAAAGACAAAAUGUACAUUUGUUUCUUUUACUGAUGUAACCAGUAUCGCUGCAAAAAAACAAAAACAACAAAACAAAAAAAAAAAACAAUAACAGUACAAUGCUGCAUGUUUGAUUGCUUGCCAUUAUUCGAUUAGAAUUAACAGAUUAAUUAAAAAGAAGUCAACAAAUGGAUUCUGUUCACUCCUGACUUCCCCAGAACAGUGACUAUCUUUCCUGUUAUUCGCAUGGAAUCAAUGCUACAUUUUUUCUUUCUGUCAUUCUUUCUUUCUUUAACUUGUUUGAGUUGAUGGGUUUGUGUUCUGUUUUCUGUUUGUGUUUUCGUCUCUCGUCGUCGGUGUUCUGUGGCUUCCCGCUCACUCUGCCCCCCCCCCCCCCCCCCAUCCUGCUUAAGCUUAUGCAAUGUGAAAUAUGCAAUUCCAGUACUCAUCUCUCCACUUUUGGCAGUGUUUUCCCAGAUCAGUUUUUCUAGCAAGAGGAGUUUGAAUGUAUGCAACAUAUAGGAGAGGAGAGGAGAGGAGGGGAGAGCAGUGUGGUCUGUGAUCCAUACCCACGCGACAGAGAGUGAUCCGAGCAGAAGAGUCAAUCGAGCUGUUGCGCUUUUGUUUUGCACCAACGUAGUUUAGUUUUUUUGCUCCUUUGGAGACAAGGAUUAAAGCGAAUGAGAGCACAGACAAGCAUGAUUUACGUCACUGGGAUGUGAAGAAAGUAUUUGCACAGAAUAGGAUUGUAAAGUACUGAGCUAGGCUUUCUAGUUUUAAGGAGCACGAUCAGGUCUCUUUUAUUCACUUGGAUUGCAAAGUUUUUGGAUCUGAGCUGUUUGUAGUCGACACAGGAAUGGCAGUCUCAGCACUUUUAUAAACUGUCUUCAGUGCAUUUGAAAUUGAAAUCCAACCUUUUUUGCUAUACACGUUGAAAGCCAUGUGUUUAAAUUCUAGCUAGAACUAUCUUCGGAUCAGAGAUUAGAUAACUUUUGUACUCACGCCGAUAAAGCAGAGUUUAAAUACUGAAGAACUGUGGAAACAACUAUGACUGGAAUAGCAAACUUUUUUCCAUGAGAAAUUCUUACGUAGAAUGUACACUGUCUUGUUGCAUUCGUCAAUGUGCUGGGUGCAGUGCUUCAGAAUUUGUGUGUGCUUGUACGUGUGUGUCUUAAGAUGUGUGAGGUUUAAUGUACGUAUGAAUGCAUGUGUGUGUACUGUGAUUUAUAGUUCUCUGCGCAAGUUGAUGACGGAGAGAAAAAAUAGAGAGGGGAAGAGGAAGAAUGUGUUCAGGUGGAUGAGAACGAACUGCUUGAUCUGAUCUACCACAGCACUUGGCUGUCUUUCUCAGAUUGUAAAUACGGAUGCAAAUGUGCCACACACACGGGGGAUAGUGAACAUUGGAUGGACUUUUACAAGAAAGAGAGAGAGAGAGAGAGAGAAAGAAAACGCUAACUUCAUUUGACUCAAAGGUUUCAAUUUGUUUUUCUUUAGACACGUCAAUGGAGCACUAAUAACCUGUGUGCACGAGCGUAUAGUAAAGGCUGUUGCACAAGAAUUGUUGAAAAAUGCAAUAAAUUGCAUUGUCCAUCUCAAACCUCCCCAAGUAUAUUAGGUUAGGUCCCUCAGACACAUAAAACUGAAUAGUUCUCACUCCCCUACAUUUGUGUUUUUGUUGUCAUUACUGAAGUAUUGGUUACUUUGAGGCUCUUCUUAUAGUUGUAGUGCAGAGACGACAGUAACAACAACAACAACAACAACAGAAAAAACUCUAAGCGACAGCACCAUGCGUAUUCAGGGUCCUGAGACCUUCACUUGUUUUUGUUUUUUUCUUCUUUUUUCAAGCAGAAAUAUCAUACCUUUUGAAAGAGCUCCAUAACACGGUCUACCAUAGACUUAGCUUUUUAUGACAUGUAGAGUAUUAAUUUGUGAGUUUGUACAUGCAUAGAUUUAUUUUAGGUCCAGAAUUUGGCCCUCACAGUUCACCCCAGUACAAUACCUGUGGCUUUCCUUAUUCCCAUACCUAUGGCGAAUAAAAGCAGAGCUCUUGUAUUCUAGACGUAACAAGUCAGGAAAGCCCAAUCAUAGCCACCGUGAUGAUUUUUUAAAACCUGUUUAAAGAAAUGAUUUUUUUAAAACACAAGAUUUUUCUGUAGUUUAUUUCCUUUUUUUAAAUUAGUGAUGAGGUCAUAAUUUAUAAUUUCUUACUUAGUAAUGUAAUGGGAGUAUAUUGAAUAAGAGAAGAUAAUGUGUUUUUUUUUCCUGCGGGGUCAAGAGGCCAUGUGAUAGUUUGUUAUGCAGUGUACAGUAUUGUUUCUGCAAUGGAUAUUGCAACGCUGGUAGCUAUUAAGAUUAAGAACAAGAGGAAUUGUUUACAUGCUCGUCUUAAGAUCUUGGCAGUGACGGUUUAUGUGCCCUAGUACGGGCCCAGGUUGAAGUGGAGUGCUGUAGCCAAAGGCAUUCCAUCAGAUUCAUACGACUCACACGUCUAGCAAGAUGCUGCCAUCAUUCAGCAAUUUUGUAUUUUUUAAAACAGGACAGGUGAUGGGAUGAGAGUCUGCCCCCCCACACGGGGGUCAAAGUGUACAGUGGGGGUCUACUUCCUGCUAUCAUGUUCACCAAGGCUGGGCUGUCAUUGCACAAAAGAUCCAUGUUUAUAUUUGACAUUGCCAUCGGGCAUUCGAUUCGUAACUUGAAUUUGAGUGACUGCUGUAAAACUAAUAGCAAAAUGACCAAAUAUUUUCAGCGUAUAUGUAAAUUCAUGACUUCCCAGAGUCUAGGCCUGUCCUCUGUGGACUCUUGGCCUGCCAAUCAUUCCAGCAGUCUUUGCAUGUGUGUAUCUGUACCGUGAAACACACCUGAACACAAGAUCUUACAUCAACCAGCCAGCGACCGCACGGUCGCACACAGCCCCCCCCCC
Molecule: long non-coding RNA, 6104 nt
Organism: Clupea harengus (Atlantic herring)
Lineage: Eukaryota; Metazoa; Chordata; Actinopteri; Clupeiformes; Clupeidae
Source: Ensembl